CCACUGCACCCGCUUAUUGCGUCUUGCUCCUGGGUCACAGAGCCUAAAACGACACACCCAACACGCCCGCCGGAGUUACAGCUAAAGGAAGGACAGGGGAAGCAAUGAAAUGCCGAGGGCGGAGCCAAGAGCGACACUGGGGGAGCAGGAAAAGGCGAGGCUUCCGCUUGGGGCAUGGAGGCUGUGCCUCUUACGUCACUUCCGUAAACAAACGGAGCUGCGGAGGAGCGGGUCCCGGGAUGUGACCGGGGCUCUACUUGUGGCUGCGGCGGUGGCUUCUGAGGCUGUCGGGUCUUUGCGGGUUGCGGAAGGGGGCCCCAAUACCCUUCUUCUUCAGGUCUUAAGAAGCUGGCCGUGGUGCAAUAAGGAACUUAAAACAAUGGAAGAGCGGAAAGUGAAGAGGAGGAGUCCUAAGUCUUUUAGUGCCCACUGUACUCAGGUUGUCAAUGCCAAAAAAAAUGCCAUUCCAGUGAGUAAAAGCACAGGGUUUUCAAAUCCUGCAUCACAGUCAACUUCACAGCGACCAAAGUUAAAAAGAGCGAUGAAAGAAAAGACCAAACCUCAGGGCGGAGAGGGCAAAGGCGCUCAGUCAACUCCUAUCCAGCACUCCUUCCUCACUGAUGUCUCAGAUGUUCAGGAGAUGGAGAGAGGGCUGCUCAGUCUUUUGAAUGAUUUCCACUCUGGAAAACUUCAAGCAUUUGGUUAGGCAUUUUCCAGGAUAUGCUUAGGACUGUGUCUUUUCUCAUCAAUCUGCCUGGGAAUCAGUGAGCCCUUCAUAUCUGCUGACUCAUCUUUCAUCUCACGUAACAUAUUUUCUAUUGUUUAUUAUUUUUCUUCCAUCUCUUCCUUUUUAGCCUCUGAAGCUUCUAUUGUUCUCAUGGUAGGUCACCUAGAUCUGUCCUCUGACUCUCGUCUUUUCCCAUAUGAUUUCUACCUCUUUAUAUUUUUACUGUACAUUUACAUACAUACACACAAACAUACAUACAUACACACAAACACAUAUCUUGAGAUAUUUCUAUUUCUUCCACUUGACCUUCCAGGUUACUAAUGUUGAAAAACAUGACUAAAAUAGAGGAAAUAUGACAUAUUUUACUGUGAAGAAAGGACAAUUUUGAGAGAGCCAUAACUAGCUUCAACAUUAGUAGUCCUUAACAUAAUGUCAUAUAGUCCAUUUAUGAAGAUGUUAUAAAGCUGGCUAGAGGAAACUAGCAUAAUUUACAUUAAUUCAUAUUUAUUCAGGAUAUGUACUUCAACUUUAGCUGAGGUAUAUUUUACCUGUAUAGUACCUUUAGGAAAAACAGAAAGGUUUUUUUUUUGAAAAAAUUCUACUAUCAAGGGAUUGCAGAGUCUGUACUUAAACUGAAUGAAAAGAUAAUACGUUAUGUGUAUAAAUUACUUGCUCUGGGCAGAUAAUGUCACUUCAGAGGACUCUUGGUCAAUACGUAAUGUAAGACCUGUUCUUUAGCAAUUAAGUUGUCUUGACAACUGUGUGUACAAUUAAAAAUAUUACAUAGUGUUGCUCAUGCUUCAUGCCAUUUUUCAUGCUUCAUAAAUAUUUUUAUUUAUAUUUCUUAAAGGAAGAAUACAUGAUUGGUUGAAAAAAUGAUUCACAUUUGAAGUCGUUAUUGAACUUUUUUUUUUUUUUUUUUUUUGAGAUAGAGUCUCUGUCACCCAGGCUGGAGUGCAGUGGUAUGAUCACAGCUCACUGCAGCCUCGGCCUCCUUGAGCUCAAGCCAUCCUCCCACCUCAGCCUCCCAAGUAGCUGGUGCUGCAGGCACACACCACCACACCCAGCUAAUUUUUUUUUUUUUUUUUUUUUUUUGAGACGGAGUGUCGCUCUUUCGCCCAGGCUGGAGUGCAGUGGCGCGAUCUCUGCUCACUGAAAGCUCCGCCUCCCAGAUUCACGCCAUUCUCCUGCCUCAGCCUCCCGAGUAGCUGGGACUACAGGCGCCCACCACCACGCCCGGCUAAUUUUUUGUAUUUUUUAGUGGAGACGGGGUUUCACCAUGUUAGCCAGGAUGGUCUCGAUCUCCUGACCUCGUGAUCCACCCGCCUUGGCCUCCCAAAGUGCUGGGAUUACAGGCGUGAGCCACCGUGCCUGGCCUUGUAUUUUUUAUAGAGAUGAGGUUUCACCAUGUUUCACAGAUUGGUCUUGAACUCCUGGACUCAAGCAGUUCUCACACCUUGGCCUCUCAAAGUGUGUUAAGAUUACAGGCGUGAGCCACCAUGCCCAGCCAGAACUCUUUUUUUUCUUUUUUUUUUUUUUUUUGAGACAGGGUCUCGCUCUGUUACUCAGGGUGGAGUGCAGUGGUGUGAUCAUGGUUCACUGCAGCCUCAACCUCCCCAGGCUUAUAUGAUUCUCCCACCUCAACCUCCCAAGUAGCUGGGAUUACAGGCACAUGCCACCACGCCUGGCUAAUUGGCUGAUUUUUUGUAUUUUUAGUAGAGACAAGGUUUCGCCAUGUUGCCCAGGCUGAUGUAGAACUCCUGGGUUCAAGGGAUCCGUCAGCCUUGGCCUCCCCAAGUGCUAGGAUUACAGGCAUGAGCCACUUGGGCCUAGAACUCUGAAUUUCACUCAAAUUAUUACAAAAUGUUGGGUCACUCAGUUAAAAUGGUAGUUGUCAAACUGGACAUGAUGAGAUGGUGCUGUUUUGCUUCUACAUAUUAUAUUACUGUUGAAGAAAAUAUAUUUUCUCUACUUAAGGGAUGAUUUUCUUUUUUCUUUUUCUUUUUUUUUUUUUUUUUUGAGACAGAGUCUCGCUCUAUUGCCAGGGUGGAGUGCAGUGGCACGAUCUUGGCUCACUGCAACUUCUGUCUCCCGGGUUCAAGCGAUUCUCCUGUCUCAGCCUCCCGAAUAGCUGGGACUACAGGCACGCACCACCAUGCCCAGCUAAUUUUUGUAUUUUUAGUAGAGACUAGGUUUCACCAUGUUGGCCAGGAUGGUGUUGAUCUCCUGACCUCAUGAUCCACCAGCUUCAGCCUCCCAAAGUACUGGGAUUACAGGCGUGAGCCACCACGCCUGGCCUGAAAUAUUUCCCAUAUGAUUUUCUUUAGUACCCAAGGUCAUUUCUUAAGUGGGUCAUUGUUUUCCUGGUCAGAAAUUUGAUUUGUUAUUAAACACAUAAAAUAUUAAUGAUUAUCUAAUUUACAGAAGAAAGAAAACCUGUUUCUUUUAGAGCACCUAGAGUUUAAGUGUUUUUACUCAAUGCUGUUAGUUUGAACUGUCCUAAUCAUUAUUAAUGUUCUGGAAUGUUCCCAAGGAAAUGAAUGUUCCAUUGAACAGAUGGAACAUGUUCGGGGAAUGCAGGAGAAAUUAGCUCGCUUGAAUUUGGAGCUCUAUGGGGAGUUAGAGGAACUUCCUGAGGAUAAGAGAAAAACAGCCAGUGACUCCAAUCUGGAUAGGCUUCUGUCAGAUUUAGAAGAAUUGAAUUCUUCCAUACAAAAACUCCAUUUGGCAGAUGCACAAGAUGUUCCAAAUACUUCUGCUAGCUAAAAUGAAAUGUAGUUUGCUUUCUUUUGAUUUGAAGAGAAGCAGCAGUCUUUACUUUUCCAGCCAAAUCCAGUAGCAGAAUCAUCUUCCACAACAAGAAAUUAAAGUAAUUAAAGUGCAAGUGCAAUGAUCGUUUUCACUUACUGCUUUUAGUAAAUGUGACUCGCUGUAAUUUGCCAUAACUGGAGGCCUAGGCCUUGUUGAAGGCUUCAUCAGGAAAUGUGAUGCAGAGAUUGUGCUGCUGUGCUUCAUAUUGUUGCCUUAUGGGAUUAUACUUGAAAUGCAUUGUGCUAAUGUUCUUGACAGGGCUGAGGGAUUUCUCUUUCCUGAGCUCACCAAACUUGUUCCAGUGUUGAUCGCAAGCUGUUGAUGCACAGGCGUCUUGUGGCAAGCCCAGCUUCAGUUUACGUUAGACAAUCAGUACACACGCUGGUGUGUUUUCCAAUGGCCAGUGAUAAGAAAUUAAAUAAGUAUUUGUGAGAUUUGCUAUUUUUUAAUAAAGUAAUUGUUUUAAAUUAA
Pan troglodytes (chimpanzee) is the source of this 4009-nucleotide RNA transcript. It is a transcript of the gene named coiled-coil domain containing 28A, with no coding region annotated. The transcript is spliced from 6 exons. NCBI's taxonomy places the organism in Eukaryota, Metazoa, Chordata, Mammalia, Primates, Hominidae. The record is from RefSeq and is a predicted model, not a curated record.